UUUAUAGUAGUUAUGAUUGCACAUCAAUACGUCAAUCACACAAUUUCAAUCCAAACAUCAACAAAUACACACAUUAAGUCGUGUACAAAUAAUUCAACAACAUCAAUAACAAGUACAACCUACAUGUGAUACUAGAAAAUUGGAAGAGUCCUUACUUAUGUUAACUUCAUUAACAAGUAUCGUUAUCUCAAACAAAGCAUAGCUAAAAUUGCUCUCAUACAAAAAUCUUUAUUUCAAUCUUGUGACUCGAUCAUAAUAAGUCCUUAAGAGCUUAAUCACCUCCUAAUUUGUCCCACACUUCUAAUUUCAGCGACGUCUCAAAUUUUUGUGAUCAACUAUUUGUUUUUGUAUUUUUAUGUCAAAAUUUAGUAGUACACUUCUCACUACUACUACACACUUAUACUCAUUCCCUCACUCCUUCUUAUAUCUCCAAGGCCACCAAUCCAUUGCCACACCUAAUAAUUACAUCCUUAAGCCCAAUGGAAACACAUGCAUCCUACUCUUUUCCCAUCUUGAAGUAGACCACAUCAUACUCCACUUCUCCUCUUUACUGAGUAACAUUAUAUUUAACCUCAUCUCUCACUUAAGCAUAAUGAGAAAGAAAAACAACAUAAUCAUUAUCCUUCCUUCUUGUUUUUGCAAGUUGUGAGAAAAAUAUAAAAGAAUAAGUGUUUGAAGGAAGAAAAGAGGUAGAAAGAAGAUAACUUUGAAGCAGAGAAGGUUAGUGUUUACUACAAUCGGGUAGAGAUAAAGAUUACAUUGAGGAAUUUAUUAUCUCCUUCAAAAAGUUUCUAACAAAACAUAGAACCCCAACUAAAAAUCUUUAGGGUGUGUUUGGGUUUUAUCUUCAUUUUGAGAAUGACUAAGUAAAUAAAUUUCUAUUUUCAUUCUAAAAUUUCAAUUUUAGGUCUGACAUGUUAUGUGUUUGUUGAAAGUGCUAUGUCAAACUUGGUUUGAUGACAUGUUAUGUGUUUGUUGAUAG
This 982-nucleotide long non-coding RNA is filed under the name Cicer arietinum (chickpea). Its description in RNAcentral is "long non-coding RNA (CARI_LNC002648)". Lineage: Eukaryota; Viridiplantae; Streptophyta; Magnoliopsida; Fabales; Fabaceae. The record is from RNAcentral.